GUUCUUGUGUGGGUGGACAGGUGACGUGUAGUAGGCCUAAAAGGGGCUCGGACUGUCCCAAACCGACCCCCGCACCCUUCCCAAAUCCCCCAGGUGGCGAUUGCUGUGGUGAUUCCUGUGGGCAGUGCCAGUACAAUCAGCGCUUGUAUGAAAACGGCCAAACGUUCAAGGACCCGGAUGAUGCCUGUAAGACGUGCACUUGUCAGGAUGGUCAGGCAACAUGUGGUUCGCCUGCAUGUCCCCAA
This 245-nucleotide long non-coding RNA is filed under the name Sinocyclocheilus anshuiensis. RNAcentral's name for it is "lncRNA (ENSSANG00000008679.1)". The record is from RNAcentral. Lineage: Eukaryota; Metazoa; Chordata; Actinopteri; Cypriniformes; Cyprinidae.